RNAcentral lists this ribosomal RNA (440 nucleotides) under uncultured bacterium. RNAcentral describes it as "partial 16S ribosomal RNA". It matches the Rfam family "Bacterial small subunit ribosomal RNA", at positions 338 to 795 of the family's 1533-position model. The record is from RNAcentral.
CCUACGGGAGGCAGCAGUAGGGAAUAUUGCUCAAUGGGGGAAACCCUGAUGCAGCGACGCCGCGUGAGUGAAGAAGUAUUUCGGUAUGUAAAGCUCUAUCAGCAGGGAAGAAAAUGACGGUACCUGAGUAAGAAGCCCCGGCUAACUACGUGCCAGCAGCCGCGGUAAUACGUAGGGGGCAAGCGUUAACCGGAUUUACUGGGUGUAAAGGGAGCGUAGACGGCAGCACAAGUCUGGAGUGAAAUGCCGGGGCUUAACCCCGGAACUGCUUUGGAAACUGUGCAGCUAGAGUGCAGGAGAGGUAAGUGGAAUUCCUAGUGUAGCGGUGAAAUGCGUAGAUAUUAGGAGGAACACCAGUGGCGAAGGCGGCUUACUGGACUGUAACUGACGUUGAGGCUCGAAAGCGUGGGGAGCAAACAGGAUUAGAUACCCCUGUAGUC